This 253-nucleotide ribosomal RNA is filed under the name uncultured bacterium. RNAcentral's name for it is "partial 16S ribosomal RNA". It matches the Rfam family "Bacterial small subunit ribosomal RNA", at positions 524 to 776 of the family's 1533-position model. The record is from RNAcentral.
UACGUAGGGGGCAAGCGUUGUCCGGAAUCAUUGGGCGUAAAGCGCGUGUAGGCGGCUAGGUAAGUCUGCUCUGAAAACCCGGGGCUCAACCCCGGGAGGCGGGUGGAUACUGUCUAGCUCGAGUCCGGAAGAGGAGUGUGGAAUUCCUGGUGUAGCGGUGAAAUGCGCAGAUAUCAGGAGGAACACCAAUGGCGAAGGCAGCACUCUGGGACGUGACUGACGCUGAGACGCGAAAGCGUGGGGAGCAAACAGG